RNAcentral lists this ribosomal RNA (463 nucleotides) under uncultured Cryptanaerobacter sp. Its description in RNAcentral is "bacterial SSU rRNA". It matches the Rfam family "Bacterial small subunit ribosomal RNA", at positions 22 to 498 of the family's 1533-position model. Lineage: Bacteria; Bacillati; Bacillota; Clostridia; Eubacteriales; Desulfotomaculaceae. The record is from RNAcentral.
AUUCAGGACGACGCUGGGGCGUGCUAACACAUGCAAGCGAACGGAGACUAGAGGAAGCUUCGAAUCCAGUCCUAGUGCGGACGGGUGAGUAACACGUGGAUAACCUGCCUGUAAGACCGGGACAACACCUGGAAACGGGUGCUAAUACCGGGUAAGCUCUUUGCGCCGCAUGGGAAGAAGAGGAGAGGGGAAACCCGCUUACAGAUGGAUCCGCGGCCCAUUAGCUAGUUGGCGGUGUAACGGACCACCAAGGCGACGAUGGGUAGCCGGCCUGAGAGGGUGGACGGCCACACUGGAACUGAGACACGGUCCAGACUCCUACGGGAGGCAGCAGUGGGGAAUCUUCCGCAAUGGGCGAAAGCCUGACGGAGCAACGCCGCGUGAAUGAUGAAGGCCUUCGGGUUGUAAAAUUCUGUCUUCAGGGAAGAAAAAAAUGACGGUACCUGAGGAGGAAGCCCCGGCU